GAUGAACGCUGGCGGCGUGCCUAAUACAUGCAAGUCGAGCGAACAGACGAGGAGCUUGCUCCUCUGACGUUAGCGGCGGACGGGUGAGUAACACGUGGAUAACCUACCUAUAAGACUGGGAUAACUUCGGGAAACCGGAGCUAAUACCGGAUAAUAUAUUGAACCGCAUGGUUCAAUAGUGAAAGACGGUUUUGCUGUCACUUAUAGAUGGAUCCGCGCCGCAUUAGCUAGUUGGUAAGGUAACGGCUUACCAAGGCAACGAUGCGUAGCCGACCUGAGAGGGUGAUCGGCCACACUGGAACUGAGACACGGUCCAGACUCCUACGGGAGGCAGCAGUAGGGAAUCUUCCGCAAUGGGCGAAAGCCUGACGGAGCAACGCCGCUUGAGUGAUGAAGGUCUUCGGACCGUAAAACUCUGUUAUUAGGGAAGAACAAAUGUGUAAGUAACUAUGCACGUCUUGACGGUACCUAAUCAGAAAGCCACGGCUAACUACGUG
This 497-nucleotide ribosomal RNA is filed under the name uncultured bacterium. RNAcentral describes it as "partial 16S ribosomal RNA". It matches the Rfam family "Bacterial small subunit ribosomal RNA", at positions 28 to 507 of the family's 1533-position model. The record is from RNAcentral.